Molecule: RNA transcript, 2061 nt
Organism: Melozone crissalis (California towhee)
Lineage: Eukaryota; Metazoa; Chordata; Aves; Passeriformes; Passerellidae
Gene: MOCS2
Gene name: molybdenum cofactor synthesis 2
Exons: 5
Source: RefSeq, a predicted model, not a curated record
CCUCUCGCCCCGGCGCAGGCGCCGCCGUGGGCCCGCGGCGGAGGGCUGCUCGCCCCGGGACGGCGGCUCCAUGCGCUGCCAGGUCUCGGUGCUGUAUUUCGCCAGGAGCGCGGAGCUGGCGGGGCUGCGCUGCGAGACCCUCUCGGUGCCACGGGAGAUCACCUCUCUGCAGCUCUGGGAGGAGAUCGUCAAGGUCCACCCCAGGCUUGCUGUCAUCCGGGAUCAAGUGGUGUUUGCUGUUCGGCAGGAGUACGUGCUUCUUGGAGAUCAGCUCCUGGUCCUGCAGCCUGGAGACGAGGUUGCCAUCAUCCCACCAAUUAGUGGAGGCUGAACCUGCCCAGGUUCUGUUAGUCUCACAGAUGUGCUUCCUGAUCAAUGGUGGUCCUCCAUACUGCACUGUGGAUCCUUUCUGAACCUCCUCUUUCUCCCAUGGGCCCUUUCCUUGAAGGACUUGCUUACAAGGACUCCAAUGAAAACACACAUGACAUAUUUUCUUCUUUCUCACUGCUGAAGACUCCAGUCCUUUCAAGAUGUGGAGUAUCAGCUUCCUAGUCCUUUCAGAAGUCUCUGGAAAGACAUUGCUACAUCUUCUCCUAGAAACUCAGGAAAUUAUCCCUAGAAAGACUUAACUUCAGCAAAACAAUACUUUUUUUCUCAACUCUUGUAUUUCAAGGGAUUACUUCUUGGCUGCAUCACCUGCCUCAGAAAGAACUAAUUCCAGGUUGCAAUCAUCUUACUAGAACUUUGUGCUGAGCUUGGAAGGAGGAAUACAGGCCAGAGAGUACAGGUCACCUCUACCACUAACUUCUCUAAGUCUUUUUUUUACAGAAUUUUUACAGAACUUUUGCAGAUAUAUCAACACAGUCUUAGAGCUGGAAGAAAUGAAACUUUCUGUAAGAAAAUCUGCCAUACAUAAUAGUUUGUUUACUACUUUCCAGAAUAUUGGCUUGUCAUCAUCCUUGAUUCAAAGGCAAAUUCACAGACCAGAGCCAAUUAUCAAUCCUUAGAGAAGAAUUUAUUAAAAAGUACUGUCUUUUGUAAAAAACAUUCCUACUAGACAUUUACCAUUCAUGAAUUGUGCUACCAAAAAAAAACCCACAACAAACCCUCAAAACAAGACCUCCAAAAAGACCCAUAUAUACUCAGUUUAUUUUUUUCUUCCUGCCUUGAAGCAGGCACAUUUUUGGUCCAAACCUCACUUGCAGGCUGAAGUGCUUCUAAGCAAAAGAGCUUCUAAAGCAAAAGAAAAUUCUAGCUCCAGUGUGGUCUUUUGGCAGGACUGAAAUUAACAAUCUUGCUGCACAACAGGAUGGGGAGGUAGAGGGGCACCCCCAGUGCUGUGUGCAGUACUUUUGCCAAUUCAUUGUUCAGAAUAAUGCUGUUGUUGGGCAGGAAUGAAUGCUAUCCCUCCUCUCCCUUCAGUACAGGGAUUGCUCUGGAUUUCACCCCCAGGAUUAUCACGCACCUCUCCAGUAGGAGCCUGACCAUAUAAGUCAAGCACUGAAAUCUGCAUUUCAUCCUUUGUGAAUUGGGAGCAACAAUUUGAAUUAUAGGUAUACUGCAUUCCCCAAAAUAGUAUGCAUAUUUCCUCUCUUUUGCUUUCUCUAAGAUAAAAUUUGUUGGAAGAAGAGCUUUUGGUAUAGCCAUCAUGUCAAUCUGAUUAACUGUGUAGCUGGAACACAUGGCCUUGGCAGUAACACUAUUUCUAGAUCCAAAGUCUGUGUUUUAAGGACUCAUCAUCAAUACUGCACAUCUGAUUUAUCAAAUACAAAUUCCCUAUGGCAUAGCAACUGCUUCAGGCAUUCUGCUGGGAGUUAAGCAGAUGCAGGUGCCAAGGCCUAAAGUGAGGAAAAGAUGUCUGAGGUGAGGUCAAACUCGAAAAGUUGCCAGCUUUUAUGCUGAGUUGGAAAUAUCUCUCCUUGACCUAAAUAAACUGAUCUGCUGGGGGAAUAAUUCUGGUAUCCAAGAAAACAAAUUGUGAGAGAGUUUUGCAUGCACAUUCUUUUCUGGAAUAGGCACUGCUAGAAAGGAAAAAAGAAAAUUCCUCUGAGAAGUUCAAAA